UGUUCUUCUACUCACCUACAUCGUUCCUUCUACCCUUCUCCAUAGUCCCAUCGCUCCUCUUCUCCAUUGUUCCUCCACUCUCACAGCAAAAUCUCAUCAAACCCUAAAUCGUUACACUCUUGUUUAACCUCCAUCUCCGUUGAACCCUAAAUCUCGUGAUUUCUCUCUCAAACCAACACCUCACUAUCGAACCCUAAUUUCUUGCUCUCAACACCUUUGUUGUUCUCACCUCCUUCUUAUACUUCUUUUAUGUGUGUUUCAGGUUAUUGCAAGAAAGGUCGAGAAUCAAUAUACCUCGAAGGGAAAUUCUCAAUGUAACAACCGUUAUAUCUCCACAUUUUCUAUACUUUUCGCCCCUGGACCUGUACAAGGAUAUACUAGUUGGUGCAUUUGAAAGGGUUAUUAUGGUGUGACUUUGAAAUUGAAAUAUAGGCCAUUGUAAUAAGCUUACAUUGUUCCUCGAAACCUAUUGGACCAUAUGUAUGGAGGACAUAUAAGAAAGCUUUUGACGAAGUUUUGCAAAUCUAUUCUGCUAUAAGAGCUUCUGGUGUUGAACAUGUAAGUGUUUAAUUUUCAAAAGAGCUAAUUCACCCAUGAUGUCUACUUACAUUACAAUAGACAAUUAGUUUGUCUUCCUCAUCGACGGCAUUAAGUAAGCUGACAUACUCAAAAUCUGUGUAAUAUUAAGUUUGCGAUUUGUCCGUUGUAAUAUUCAUAUGGGUUCAUAUAGAAUGGCUAUUGUCUUUGACUAAGUAAUAAAACAGUUCAUAUGAGUUUUGUAGUCAUUCAAGUGAGAGGGUUGAAUAUUAUUAGCCUUUGGAUUAAAAUAAAAGGUGGAGAUUAAAAUACUCAUUAAAAGAAACAUGUGAUAUCUGAACUUUGAAUAUACACGCUUCCAGCAGUUGUACAAAAUAUUGCUGGGAUGAGAAUUGUGUUAGGGAAAAAUUAAAUAGAUAUAGUGUGCAAAGACAAAGAUAAAGUAUGUUCCUUUAGAUCUUAUGUAUCAGCAAGAGUUCAAGUAACAAGGACAGAGUUCAAGUAACACUAGAUUUUAUUUAGUUUUUACUACCAAGAAUUGAUUAGAAAUAUAGUCCCAGGAAUGACUACAUGUUCUUAUAUUUUAGUAUAUUUGUGUUAUUAUGUUACAU
Molecule: long non-coding RNA, 1148 nt
Organism: Trifolium pratense (red clover)
Lineage: Eukaryota; Viridiplantae; Streptophyta; Magnoliopsida; Fabales; Fabaceae
Exons: 3
Source: RefSeq, a predicted model, not a curated record